This 262-nucleotide signal recognition particle RNA is filed under the name Candidatus Mediterraneibacter pullicola. RNAcentral describes it as "signal recognition particle sRNA large type". It matches the Rfam family "Bacterial large signal recognition particle RNA". Rfam says of the family: The signal recognition particle (SRP) is a universally conserved ribonucleoprotein involved in the co-translational targeting of proteins to membranes. Archaeal SRP consists of a 7S RNA and homologues of the eukaryotic SRP19 and SRP54 proteins. The record is from RNAcentral. Lineage: Bacteria; Bacillati; Bacillota; Clostridia; Lachnospirales; Lachnospiraceae.
UCGUGCAGCCGGGGUGUUAGCGGUACCUUGUACCUGCAAUCCGCUAUAGCAGGGGUGAUAUUGCGCAGAGGACGGCAGCCGGCAGGGCUGCCCCCGGUAAGUGAUGUUGAUGUUUGGGUCUCACGCGACGGGAACCUGUGAACCGUGUCAGGCCGGGAACGGAGCAGCACUAAGCAGGAGCUCCCGGGUGCCGUGAGGGUGCCUGAGCUGAGUUAACUGCCGGGGUAACGCCUGUUGGUCAAGUUCGAAGCGCAAUGCACGA